UAGGGAAUCUUGCUCAAUGGGCGAAAGCCUGAAGCAGCAAUGCCGCGUGAGGGAUGAAGGCCUUCGGGUUGUAAACCUCUUUCAGCGGGGACGAAUCUGACGGUACCCGCAGAAGAAGGUCCGGCUAACUACGUGCCAGCAGCCGCGGUGAUACGUAGGGACCGAGCGUUGUCCGGAUUCAUUGGGCGUAAAGAGCUCGUAGGCGGUUUGGUAAGUCAGGUGUGAAAACUGGAGGCUCAACCUCCAGCCUGCACCAGAUACUGCCAUGACUAGAGUCCGGUAGGGUAGAAUGGAAUUCCCGGUGUAGCGGUGAAAUGCGCAGAUAUCGGGAGGAACACCAGUGGCGAAGGCGGUUCUCUGGGCCGGAACUGACGCUGAGGAGCGAAAGCUAGGGGAGCAAACAG
This 404-nucleotide ribosomal RNA is filed under the name uncultured bacterium. RNAcentral describes it as "bacterial SSU rRNA". It matches the Rfam family "Bacterial small subunit ribosomal RNA", at positions 355 to 775 of the family's 1533-position model. The record is from RNAcentral.